Molecule: long non-coding RNA, 313 nt
Filed under: Malus domestica (apple)
Lineage: Eukaryota; Viridiplantae; Streptophyta; Magnoliopsida; Rosales; Rosaceae
Description: long non-coding RNA (MDOM_LNC009356)
Source: RNAcentral
GAUGAUGUUUUUAUGUAUCAUUCAUCCAUGCAAUUGUUCGAGAUAGAGAUGUUUUUGGUACAAUAUCCUGACUAAAUCUCGAAUAUAUGUAAUCAUCGACAACAAAUAUUGAAGUCGUAUUGCAGAAUCAAACAGAAGAUACAUAAUAUCCACUUCUAUAUAAACUAACACAAACACCUUCCCAUUUAUCCCAUUCCUCAAGCCCUCCAAUACAACCUCCCACUCACUUCACUCCUCAUCUCAAUCUCCUCCCUCAAAAUCUAGCACUUUAAAAACCCCAGAGUUGAAUCUCUUCCUACCAACCCAAACAGAU